RNAcentral lists this ribosomal RNA (497 nucleotides) under uncultured bacterium. RNAcentral's name for it is "partial 16S ribosomal RNA". It matches the Rfam family "Bacterial small subunit ribosomal RNA", at positions 28 to 507 of the family's 1533-position model. The record is from RNAcentral.
GAUGAACGCUGGCGGCGUGCCUAAUACAUGCAAGUCGAGCGAACAGACGAGGAGCUUGCUCCUCUGACGUUAGCGGCGGACGGGUGAGUAACACGUGGAUAACCUACCUAUAAGACUGGGAUAACUUCGGGAAACCGGAGCUAAUACCGGAUAAUAUAUUGAACCGCAUGGUUCAAUAGUGAAAGACGGUUUUGCUGUCACUUAUAGAUGGAUCCGCGCCGCAUUAGCUAGUUGGUAAGGUAACGGCUUACCAAGGCAACGAUGCGUAGCCGACCUGAGAGGGUGAUCGGCAACACUGGAAAUGAGACACGGUCCAGACUCCUACGGGAGGCAGCAUGAGGGAAUCUUCCGCAAAGGGCGAAAGCCUGACGGAGCAACGCCGCGUGAGUGAUGAAGGUCUUCGGAUCGUAAAACUCUGUUAUUAGGGAAGAACAAAUGUGUAAGUAACUAUGCACGUCUUGACGGUACCUAAUCAGAAAGCCACGGCUAACUACGUG